RNAcentral lists this long non-coding RNA (202 nucleotides) under Vigna radiata. RNAcentral describes it as "long non-coding RNA (VRAD_LNC015997)". Lineage: Eukaryota; Viridiplantae; Streptophyta; Magnoliopsida; Fabales; Fabaceae. The record is from RNAcentral.
CAUUUGUUUGUGGGUGAUAAAGGGAAGCCACCUUAUGCUUGACCUCAUAGUGCUUAAGCGCCUUGGCCAGCUAAGCAUUGCAAAAAUGGGAUCCUCCAUCACUAAUGAGGACCCUAGGAACUCCAAACCGGGUAAAGAUUUGCUUUUCCAAAAACUUGAUAACUAUAGAUGCAUCAUUUUUACGACAAGCAGCUACCUCCAC